Molecule: ribosomal RNA, 386 nt
Filed under: uncultured eukaryote
Lineage: Eukaryota
Description: partial 18S ribosomal RNA
Rfam family: Eukaryotic small subunit ribosomal RNA
Source: RNAcentral
CAAUAGCGUAUAUUAAAGUUGUUGCAGUUAAAAAGCUCGUAGUUGGAUUUCUGGAUCGAACGCUUCGUCCGCCGCUGUGCGGUGUGUACUGAGGUUUUGUUUCGAUUCAUCCUUGCAGGGAAGCGAGUUCGAGAUUAAUUUGUCGGCUCGGGGAACUGCAUCUUUUGCUGUGAAAAAAUUAGAGUGUUUAAAGCAGGCAUUUUGCUGUGAAUACAUUAGCAUGGAAUAAUAACAUAGGACUUUGGUUCUAUUUUGUUGGUUGGAGGCCAAGGCAAUGAUUAAUAGGGACAGUUGGGGGUAUUCAUAUUUAAUUGUCAGAGGUGAAAUUCUUGGAUUUAUGAAAGAUGAACUCAUGCGAAAGCAUUUACCAAGGAUGUUUUCAUUAA